CACUUUUCCACUAGUUACCAAUGAAAAAUUCAGUAUAACCUAAUAAGUCUAUCUUAUAACUAGCCAUCUCAUUUGGGUUUCAGAAAACUAUUAAGCAAACAUUGCUGCACUUAAGCACCAUUAAAAGCAACAAAUACUAUCAAAGGCUAAAAUAUGAAUUCAGGUGAUUACUCAAAUGACAGUCAAUAUCAGGUCUGUACAGAGAAUACAAAACAUUCAUUCUGGUCAAUGAGCCUAUUUAGCUCAGCACCUGCUGAUGCAGGACAGCCUAGCGAAAUCCAAGGUACAUGGGCUGUUUUGCAUGGAAAAAGGUGGAGUGAGAUCAGAAGUGAUGAUAACAAAAUUUGGUUUAUGAGUCUAAACAGAAGGAAGGAACCCAGUUUUUCCAAGGAUUGGAUGAGGACCAAAGAUUAUGUAAGAGUUUCUUAGAAUCUGAGCAAAAAGUAUGAAGCUCUUAAAGAGCAACAAAAUCAAAAGGCCGAAGAAGCAUGGUUCUGACAUCUAACCACAAGCUAACCUUCAUACUAGUAAGAGAUAUUAUGCAAGCCAUGGAUUGCUCAUGAAAAUCCAAUUAUACCAGUUUAUAAGAAAAAAUGGAUUCCCUCAAUCCCUGUAAAGCUUAUCAUGCUUAACAACAUGAACAAGUAAAAGCCCAUCUUCAGUGAGCACACAAAUUAACAUUACCCCAUUACGAGUACUAUGAGGAGCAGUUUCUAACACUAAAACUAUGUUGCAUGGAAAGAAUGAGGCACUUAACCAAUAACCAUCCUUAGUGAGCACACAAAUAAACAUUAUCCUACCAGGAGGACCAAGGCAAGGAGUUUCUAACACUCAGAGACUAUGUUGCAUGGUAAGAUUGAGGUACUUAACCAAUCAAGUGAGUCAAAUGUAGAAGUUUUCCAUUACCUCAAUUAAGGCUAUUAAGCAGUGUUGGAAAAUGCAAGAAAUACAAACACACGUCAUCACACUUUCCAAAAUCACUAUAGGUGAAAGGAAAUCAUUCAAGUUCAAAAUCCACAUCACUCAGAUGUUCAAAAGUUUAGUUUGAAAGCUUUGUUAAAUAUAGCGAUUAAAUGAUCAUA
RNAcentral lists this unclassified non-coding RNA (1082 nucleotides) under Hevea brasiliensis (rubber tree). Lineage: Eukaryota; Viridiplantae; Streptophyta; Magnoliopsida; Malpighiales; Euphorbiaceae. The record is from RNAcentral.